RNAcentral lists this ribosomal RNA (371 nucleotides) under uncultured bacterium. Its description in RNAcentral is "partial 16S ribosomal RNA". It matches the Rfam family "Bacterial small subunit ribosomal RNA", at positions 338 to 725 of the family's 1533-position model. The record is from RNAcentral.
CCUACGGGAGGCAGCAGUGGGGAAUAUUGCACAAUGGGGGAAACCCUGAUGCAGCAACGCCGCGUGAGUGAAGAAGGUUUUCGGAUUGUAAAGCUCUGUUAGCAGGGAAGAGGAAGGACGGUCCCUGCAGAGGAAGCCACGGCUUACUACGUGCCAGCAGCCGCGGUAAUACGUAGGUGGCAAGCGUUGUUCGGAAUAACUGGGCGUAAAGGAUGCGUCGGCGGUUAAACAAGUUAUAUGUUAAAUAUAUGGGCCUAACCUGGAGAAAGCCUAUAAAACUGUUUAACGUGAGUUCAGGAGAGGGAGGUGGAAGUCCGUGUGUAGCGGUGAAAUGCGUAGAGAAUAGGAAGAACACCAGGGGCGAAGGCGGC